This is a non-coding RNA of Hemibagrus wyckioides, 538 nucleotides long. Lineage: Eukaryota; Metazoa; Chordata; Actinopteri; Siluriformes; Bagridae. The record is from the annotation of a RefSeq genome assembly.
UAAAAAUCUGCAGCCAGAUGUUAAUUCAGAAUUCAUCAUGUGACAGGAAGACUUCAGAAAGAUUGAUGUCACUUCCUCCAGCUGAUCCUUAUCAUGAUUUAUCUGCAACAGACUGUAGAGCUCCUCUUAUCCCCUACAACCAGCUUAAACCAGUAUGAUCUGUGCUAUAAUCAGUCUCCAUUUCCUGCUUUACUGGACAUCAGUUUUAGCAGAAGAUGAUGGAGUCUUCCAAACCCCCAGUGUCCUCUGGCAUCCUAAAGGAGAAUCUGCAGAAAUGAAAUGCAGUCAUAAUAAAGGUCUUGGGUAUAAUCAGAUGUACUGGUACAGACAACGCCAAGGAGAGAGCAUGGAGUUCAUCGUGUACAAAACACCCAGUGGUGAACCAGAGUUUGGCUCUGUGGAUAGAAAUAAAUUUUUAACUGUUAAAAACAUUGCUGCAAAUGGAUCUUUAACUGUGAAGGAUCUGGAUAUAGAGGACAGUGCUGUGUAUUUCUGUGCAGUAAGAGAACACAGUGUUACAGAGUUACUGCACUGCUGA